RNAcentral lists this unclassified non-coding RNA (225 nucleotides) under plant metagenome. RNAcentral's name for it is "partial contains small subunit ribosomal RNA, internal transcribed spacer 1, and 5.8S ribosomal RNA". The record is from RNAcentral.
GCUCCGUUGGUGAACCAGCGGAGGGAUCAUUACAGGACUCGCAAGACUCCUACAACCCUGUGAACUUAACUAUAAGCACGUUGCUUCGGCGGUUGUCUCGGAGGGGGUUCUCCCUCCCCGAGACGCUAAACCCGCCGGCAGCCUACUAUACUCUGUCUCUUUGCGUUGGCAUCUCGAGUACAAUCAAACAAGUUAAAACUUUCAACAACGGAUCUCUUGGUUCUG